RNAcentral lists this ribosomal RNA (291 nucleotides) under uncultured bacterium. Its description in RNAcentral is "partial 16S ribosomal RNA". It matches the Rfam family "Bacterial small subunit ribosomal RNA", at positions 773 to 1060 of the family's 1533-position model. The record is from RNAcentral.
GUGGAUUAGAUACCCUGGUAGUCCACGCCCUAAACGAUGUCUACUAGUUGUUGGGAGAGUAAAAUCUCUUAGUAACGCAGCUAACGCGUGAAGUAGACCGCCUGGGGAGUACGGUCGCAAGAUUAAAACUCAAAGGAAUUGACGGGGGCCCGCACAAGCGGUGGAUUAUGUGGAUUAAUUCGAUGCAACGCGAAAAACCUUACCUGGCCUUGACAUGUACCGAAUUUGUGAGAGAUCACUUAGUGCUCGAAAGAGAACGGUAACACAGGUGCUGCACGGUCGUCGUCAUCU